RNAcentral lists this ribosomal RNA (106 nucleotides) under Lepisosteus oculatus (spotted gar). The record is from RNAcentral. Lineage: Eukaryota; Metazoa; Chordata; Actinopteri; Semionotiformes; Lepisosteidae.
ACCAGCAGCCAUUUCGCUCUGCAACCCCCUGAAGCUAAGCAGGUGUGAGCCUGGUUUGUACCUGGAUGGGAGACCUCCUGGGAAAAAACUAAGGUUGCUGCUGGAA